CCCUGCCUGGUUCAGGAACUGCAUUGGGAAACAAUUUGUCAUGAAUGAGCUGAAAAUAGCCGUGGCCCUGACUCUACUUCAUUUUGAGCUACUGCCAAAUCCCAUCAGGAUUCCUGUACCCAUGGCACUCGCUGUGAUGAAGUCCAAGAAUGGAAUCCACCUGCAUCUCAGGAAGCUCCAAUAAUUCUGGUGGAAGAGAGGACAUGUCUGCGGGCCAGCUGCUUGACAUUUUGUGUUUCUGUCACCUGUUCUAGUAUACCUUCCAUUACCCCAAAACUGCUUUCAAUCUUUCCACCUGCCCUCCUUCCCACCUGCCUGCUCUAAGAAG
This 328-nucleotide long non-coding RNA is filed under the name Marmota monax (woodchuck). Lineage: Eukaryota; Metazoa; Chordata; Mammalia; Rodentia; Sciuridae. The record is from RNAcentral.